Molecule: ribosomal RNA, 1355 nt
Filed under: Staphylococcus aureus AMMC6075
Lineage: Bacteria; Bacillati; Bacillota; Bacilli; Caryophanales; Staphylococcaceae
Description: bacterial SSU rRNA
Rfam family: Bacterial small subunit ribosomal RNA
Source: RNAcentral
GCAUGGUUCAAAAGUGAAAGACGGUCUUGCUGUCACUUAUAGAUGGAUCCGCGCUGCAUUAGCUAGUUGGUAAGGUAACGGCUUACCAAGGCAACGAUGCAUAGCCGACCUGAGAGGGUGAUCGGCCACACUGGAACUGAGACACGGUCCAGACUCCUACGGGAGGCAGCAGUAGGGAAUCUUCCGCAAUGGGCGAAAGCCUGACGGAGCAACGCCGCGUGAGUGAUGAAGGUCUUCGGAUCGUAAAACUCUGUUAUUAGGGAAGAACAUAUGUGUAAGUAACUGUGCACAUCUUGACGGUACCUAAUCAGAAAGCCACGGCUAACUACGUGCCAGCAGCCGCGGUAAUACGUAGGUGGCAAGCGUUAUCCGGAAUUAUUGGGCGUAAAGCGCGCGUAGGCGGUUUUUUAAGUCUGAUGUGAAAGCCCACGGCUCAACCGUGGAGGGUCAUUGGAAACUGGAAAACUUGAGUGCAGAAGAGGAAAGUGGAAUUCCAUGUGUAGCGGUGAAAUGCGCAGAGAUAUGGAGGAACACCAGUGGCGAAGGCGACUUUCUGGUCUGUAACUGACGCUGAUGUGCGAAAGCGUGGGGAUCAAACAGGAUUAGAUACCCUGGUAGUCCACGCCGUAAACGAUGAGUGCUAAGUGUUAGGGGGUUUCCGCCCCUUAGUGCUGCAGCUAACGCAUUAAGCACUCCGCCUGGGGAGUACGACCGCAAGGUUGAAACUCAAAGGAAUUGACGGGGACCCGCACAAGCGGUGGAGCAUGUGGUUUAAUUCGAAGCAACGCGAAGAACCUUACCAAAUCUUGACAUCCUUUGACAACUCUAGAGAUAGAGCCUUCCCCUUCGGGGGACAAAGUGACAGGUGGUGCAUGGUUGUCGUCAGCUCGUGUCGUGAGAUGUUGGGUUAAGUCCCGCAACGAGCGCAACCCUUAAGCUUAGUUGCCAUCAUUAAGUUGGGCACUCUAAGUUGACUGCCGGUGACAAACCGGAGGAAGGUGGGGAUGACGUCAAAUCAUCAUGCCCCUUAUGAUUUGGGCUACACACGUGCUACAAUGGACAAUACAAAGGGCAGCGAAACCGCGAGGUCAAGCAAAUCCCAUAAAGUUGUUCUCAGUUCGGAUUGUAGUCUGCAACUCGACUACAUGAAGCUGGAAUCGCUAGUAAUCGUAGAUCAGCAUGCUACGGUGAAUACGUUCCCGGGUCUUGUACACACCGCCCGUCACACCACGAGAGUUUGUAACACCCGAAGCCGGUGGAGUAACCUUUUAGGAGCUAGCCGUCGAAGGUGGGACAAAUGAUUGGGGUGAAGUCGUAACAAGGUAGCCGUAUCGGAAGGUGCGGCUGGAUCACCU